RNAcentral lists this ribosomal RNA (500 nucleotides) under uncultured bacterium. RNAcentral describes it as "partial 16S ribosomal RNA". It matches the Rfam family "Bacterial small subunit ribosomal RNA", at positions 29 to 523 of the family's 1533-position model. The record is from RNAcentral.
AUUGAACGCCGGCGGCACGCCUAACACAUGCAAGUCGAGCGGCAGCGAGACUAGUAGCAAUACUAGUUGUCGGCGAGCGGCGGACGGGUGAGGAACACGUAGGAACCUGCCUGAGAGAGGGGGAUAACUAAUGGAAACGUUAGCUAAUACCGCAUAAUCUCGAGAGAGCAAAGCUGCAGCAAUGUAGCGCUAUUAGAGGGGCCUGCGUCCGAUUAGCUAGUUGGUGGGGUAAUGGCUCACCAAGGCGAUGAUCGGUAACUGGUCUGAGAGGACGACCAGUCACACAGGGACUGAGACACGGCCAGACUCCUACGGGAGGCAGCAGUGGGGAAUCUUGGACAAUGGGGGCAACCCUGAUCCAGCGAUGCCGCGUGAGUGAAGAAGGCCUUCGGGUCGUAAAGCUCUUUAGGCUGGGAAGAAGGGUGGUUGAGGAAAUGCGAUCAUUUUGACUGUACCAGCAGAAUAAGCACCGGCAAACUCUGUGCCAGCAGCCGCCGUAA